This 492-nucleotide ribosomal RNA is filed under the name uncultured bacterium. RNAcentral describes it as "partial 16S ribosomal RNA". It matches the Rfam family "Bacterial small subunit ribosomal RNA", at positions 29 to 507 of the family's 1533-position model. The record is from RNAcentral.
AGUGAACGCUGGCGGUAGGCCUAACACAUGCAAGUCGAACGGCAGCACAGUAAGAGCUUGCUCUUACGGGUGGCGAGUGGCGGACGGGUGAGGAAUACAUCGGAAUCUACUUUUUCGUGGGGGAUGACGUAGGGAAACUUACGCUAAUACCGCAUACGACCUACGGGUGAAAGCAGGGGAUCUUCGGACCUUGCGCGAUUGAAUGAGCCGAUGUCGGAUUAGCUAGUUGGCGGGGUAAAGGCCCACCAAGGCGACGAUCCGUAGCUGGUCUGAGAGGACGAUCAGCCACACUGGAACUGAGACACGGUCCAGACUCCUACGGGAGGCAGCAGUGGGGAAUAUUGGACAAUGGGCGCAAGCCUGAUCCAGCCAUACCGCGUGGGUGAAGAAGGCCUUCGGGUUGUAAAGCCCUUUUGUUGGGAAAGAAAAGCAGCAGGUUAAUACCCCGCUGUUCUGACGGUACCCAAAGAAUAAGCACCGGCUAACUUCGUG